CGCGUAGGCGGCCUGAUAAGUAGGAGGUGAAAUCCUGGGGCUUAACCUCAGGGCUGCCUUCUAGACUGUCCGGCUCGAGCACAGUAGAGGCAGGUGGAAUUCCCGGUGUAGCGGUGGAAUGCGUAGAGAUCGGGAAGAACAUCGGUGGCGAAGGCGGCCUGCUGGGCUGUUGCUGACGCUGAGGCGCGACAGCGUGGGGAGCAAACAGGAUUAGAUACCCUGGUAGUCCACGCCGUAAACGAUGGGUACUAGGCGUCGGGGGGAGCGACCCCCUCGGUGCCGUCGCUAACGCAGUAAGUACCCCGCCUGGGGAGUACGGCCGCAAGGCUGAA
RNAcentral lists this ribosomal RNA (332 nucleotides) under uncultured Gemmatimonas sp. RNAcentral describes it as "bacterial SSU rRNA". It matches the Rfam family "Bacterial small subunit ribosomal RNA", at positions 568 to 898 of the family's 1533-position model. The record is from RNAcentral. Lineage: Bacteria; Pseudomonadati; Gemmatimonadota; Gemmatimonadia; Gemmatimonadales; Gemmatimonadaceae.